Molecule: long non-coding RNA, 1457 nt
Filed under: Struthio camelus australis
Lineage: Eukaryota; Metazoa; Chordata; Aves; Struthioniformes; Struthionidae
Description: lncRNA (ENSSCUG00000000814.1)
Source: RNAcentral
CGGGCGGGCGGCUCCCGGGACGUUGCGGGCCGGUUCCCCGAGCCUCUGCGGGCCUCGCAGAUCGGGUGAAACCGAGCUGAGGAAACGGCCGCUUGUGGGCUGCGCGGGGGGGGCUGCAGGGCGACGGGCGCUGUGGGAAGCGCUGGUGGCAGAAGCGCUUGUCCCGCCGUGACAAAGCCGAACGCGCCAGCGGCGUUGCCUGCUAACGGUUAACGGAGCUGCCGCGGUUAUGUUGCGACGCAGGAAUCUGAGAUUUGGUCGCGCAUGAAGGUUAUCAGAGAACGUGAAUUUAAAGUAGGAUAGCUGCCUCCCAGAGUAAUGCCGCGUGUGGAAAGUCCUGCUGCGGAAAUAUCCCUUUCACCUUCCCGCACUACAGCCUACUGAUGGUUGAUACGCCAAUGAUAAGGAGCCUUCCUUUGUUGUGAAAUUUUGAAGUUCUUGUCAGCUGGGCUAGCCCCAGCCUUAGCUGAAAACUAAUGCCAGAGAUAUUCAGGAUGUGUAUUUUGACGGAACACCUCCAUGAUUCAUUGCUGGAUUUCCUGGAAUCUGGGUUGAUUAUUAUCUGGAACAAUUCUUCUUCGAAUAAAAACAAGGCACUACAGCUAAAAACAAAGCCCUUUUAUGGGAAACACCUAUAGAAUCCAGAAGAGAUUGGAACCGAAUUUAAAAGAAAACUCAAAAUAUUUCUAUUUUUAAGCCUAAUAGAAUUCCUUGCUGAAAAAAAAUAUAUCGUGGAUUGGUACUUAUUUUCUAGCAUUGUUUUCAUAAAUCUUUACAUUAAAAUUUCUCCUGAGAAUGUUCUUCAUAAGAACUCUUUUGAACUCUUCAAAAUCAGGCUCAUAUUGGUAUCAUCAUUUGUACUACAGUAGUAGUUACAGAGUUGAAUGGAGACCACGGUCUUCAUGGUGUUGAGUGUGGUUUUUGUCACACUAAGAGGUAGUCCUCGACCCAAACAUGUCUGCUUAAGAGAGAGGAAGUUUGUGUUUUAUUUAAGGGAGCUGACGCAGAAAGAUUAUCUAUGAUACCUAAAGUGAGAUUGGUGGAAAGCUUUCUUGGAUGCCAAAUCAGUGGCUUAACCUGAAGAUUCAUGUCUCCUAAGAGCAGAUAGCUAUUAAAAUUCCCCAUUUCUUGAUUUCUUUACUUUCAUAGUUUUAUUACCAUUAGUCUGAAUACUGAUAUAACUCAUUCUGUCUAUGGCAUCUCUCCAAACACAUUUCAGCUCUCCUUAUAACUGAGGGUUGUGACAGUGGGAAAAAUGGAAACGCAUCAGGUUUUGCAAAGUUAGACGCACCCUCUGGCCUUUUUUAUGGUAGCUCCAACACGUUAUAGCUUUUUCUUCUGUACUUCUAAGACAGCUGUAUCGCCCUGUGAGGGUCUUCCAUUUUUCUGAAUUUCAGUCCUGCCUUCUUGCCCACCAUCUGCUGGGAGCACACUGACAAGAGAAGAGCUAACUGCUG